CAAAUACAAGUAUGGACAGUUCACGAAGAGCAGCAUCUAGAAGUAAAAGUAUCUGUUUUAAGGUCAUUUUUUAAGCAUUUUUCCUUUAUGAACAAAUUAUCUUCAUAGUUUGAUAAACUUUCAUUUCAGGCUUUUCAAACUAUUCAUUUUCUUGUUUUUAACAUUUAUUCCCAUCAAUUAUUUCUAAAUUUUGCUCCUAUUGUUCUUAUUUGGGUCAUUAUAUUUUUAACUUCGUACACUGUUGGGUUGUUGUUGGCUCCUGUUUUGUGUCGUAAAGGUCCCAAAUGUAGAGGGUCCUGAUUGAAAUUGUGUGUGAGUACAAAUGGAGCACUUUCAUUCAGGAGGAAUUCUGUACAUUCUGUUAUUGAGUUCACACUUAUUUGCAACCCUUGCAAUAUCUGGUAACUUAACUACAUCCCAG
RNAcentral lists this long non-coding RNA (421 nucleotides) under Mytilus galloprovincialis (Mediterranean mussel). The record is from RNAcentral. Lineage: Eukaryota; Metazoa; Mollusca; Bivalvia; Mytilida; Mytilidae.